Molecule: non-coding RNA, 102 nt
Filed under: Deltaproteobacteria bacterium
Lineage: Bacteria; Pseudomonadati; Myxococcota; Myxococcia
Description: Glycine sequence
Rfam family: Glycine riboswitch aptamer
About the family: This family represents the bacterial glycine riboswitch.
Source: RNAcentral
CUAUAGGCUACAGGAGAGACCCCGUAUCCAAAGGGGCGCCGAAGGGGCAAAUUCCGAGAGAAUCGGGACGAAACUCUCAGGCAAAAGGACUGUAACUUAUUU